GACAUGGGGGUGAGUAAAUUAUCAGCAAAAGUUUUUUUUAAAAGUGAACUACUCCUUUAAUUUACAGUAGUGGUGUGUAAUGUGUAAUAUGCUGUGAAUAUGAUGUUUGUGUGUUUAGAACAAUAUUUGUAUUUCUAUAUGUGUUUUUAUAAAAAGUUAUUUGUUAUUUAGCAGAUGCUUUCUUGCCCAAAGCAACCUCUUAUACAGGACAGGCAGUCUGGAAGUGACCUGGAGUGAAGGGAUAUGCUCCGUGGAAUAAAAGAAAAAACAGAGGCCUUUCACACCUCUAGACUCCAAAGGGAUCGACGCAGGUUUGGAUCGUGUCACUAAGCCACCAUUCAUCCCCUCUGAACGUGUGCGCGGCAUGAUAGCGGGUCUGCUGGGAUGGGUUGUAGGCUAAUUCCUUCUUGUUCCUCACCCUUUUGGCAGCUGUUUGGAUCCCUGGAGGAAGUUCACCUGUAAACUCCUGUUACACAGCAUCGAAUACGGCUCUACAACAUCUGCUCAGCCACAAUAGUGAUUUUAAAGUAGGAUUUCAAAUAGCAACUGUGAGACAUGAGAUGCUGCAUUUAAAUGUUUUUUAUAGUUAUGAACUAAAGUAUCUUAGCCAUGAUAAAACCACUGUAAUGCACAGGCUCAAAAAGCUUCACAGCGAUUUACUAAAUAGCAUUAUUAUUUACAUUUACAUCAAAUAUUUACAUAAUCUACAAGAAGUAUUGUCAAUUCACCGCAAAAUAAUUGUUCAUUAGCUGUAUGCAAUAUUAAUGUCAAAUAGGAACAAAAAUCGUUGUCAGUGACAAACCAAUAGACAAUGUCAAUUAAAUAAAAAAUUGUAUUAAUCAAAUUAUAUUUUCAUUGACUUAAAUUA
Pimephales promelas (fathead minnow) is the source of this 868-nucleotide long non-coding RNA. RefSeq lists it as uncharacterized. The record is from RefSeq and is a predicted model, not a curated record. NCBI's taxonomy places the organism in Eukaryota, Metazoa, Chordata, Actinopteri, Cypriniformes, Leuciscidae.